UGGGGAAUAUUGGACAAUGGGGGAAACCCUGAUCCAGCGACGCCGCGUGUGUGAAGAAGGCCUGCGGGUUGUAAAGCACUUUUAGUGGGGAUGAAAUGUGCAGGGUUAAUACCUCUGCAUUUUGACCUAACCCACAGAAAAAGCACCGGCUAACUCUGUGCCAGCAGCCGCGGUAAUACAGAGGGUGCAAGCGUUAAUCGGAAUUACUGGGCGUAAAGCGUGCGUAGACGGUUACAUAAGUCGGGUGUGAAAGCCCCGGGCUCAACCUGGGAAUUGCAUUCGAGACUGCGUAGCUAGGGUGCGGAAGAGGGAAGCGGAAUUUCCGGUGUAGCGGUGAAAUGCGUAGAUAUCGGAAGGAACACCAGUGGCGAAAGCGGCUUCCUGGUCCAGCACCGACGUUCAGGCACGAAAGCGUGGGGAGCAAACAG
RNAcentral lists this ribosomal RNA (428 nucleotides) under uncultured bacterium. RNAcentral's name for it is "bacterial SSU rRNA". It matches the Rfam family "Bacterial small subunit ribosomal RNA", at positions 355 to 775 of the family's 1533-position model. The record is from RNAcentral.